AGCAAUAGCAGGCGGGCGGCGUAACGUGCGUAACAUAAAGAGGCGUGGUCAACUCCACACGCAUGCGCAGCGCAAGAUGCAAAAUGCUCGCGAGAGUAUCUUGGAUAACCCCCAUAGCCCGAUGAUGCUGCCGCUUCUCACCGCUCACCGCUGACCAAAGCUCACUGCCGUACGCUGCACCGCCACUGAAAGCUGACCACCGCAGACCACAACUGGCGGUGGUCAGAGGGACAUCAACGCCGCUGCAACAAAGGACAGCUUAGUACCGCCGCAUCCACCGCAGACCAUGGGCUCCACCGCCGCCGACAGUCCCUUCCUCACCUCCGCUGCACAUAUCAGCAAAACACCUACCGAAGCCGGACAUCAAUGUGCAAAGACAUAGGCACAUGUAUGUAUGCAACGCUCGUUCAAAUCAGACAUCUUAGGCUAUAACACUGUCCCAGCAUACUCUAUAGGUUGAAUGUCGUCCCACACCCAACCAGUGGUCCCUUGACCGAAGAGUGCAGGAUGUCUCGUCCUCCCCCCUGUCUUCCCCAACAAUAGUCAAUGUUGGAUUUGCGAAAUAAGUACAUACAUGUGUCUCGGUCACCUGUUAUGUGUUUUGAAAUAUUUUCUGUUUUGUUAGUAAUUUAUGAGUUAUUGUUUACUGUCAAAGGGUGGACUGUCGAAGUCAAAAAUAUAACACACACCCACUACGUGCAAACACCACACAGAGUGGCCUCUGCGUGCGCGUUUUUGCCAUGCGUACGCAUACCAACAGGCUACGUACACUGCUACACGAGCCUUGCACAUUGGCGUGUGGUAUGAGUAUAUACGGUAGCAUACGCAUUUGCACAGAAAAGCUACAAAGACACAUUCAAUAUUCAAUUCAUAUAGUGCAUAAUUUACACAUAGGCCCUCAUUCCGAGUUGUUCGCUCGUUAUUUUUCUUCGCAUCGGUGCGAUUUUCCGCUAACUGCGCAUGCGCAAUGUUCGCACUGUGGCUGCGUUAAGUAAAUUUGCUAAGAAGUUUGGUAUUUUACUCACGGCAUUACAAGGUUUUAUCUUCGCUCUGGUGAUCGGAGUGUGAUUGACAGGAAGUGGGUGUUUCUGGGCGGAAACUGACCGUUUUAUGGGUGUGUGUGAAAAAACGCUGCCGUUUCUGGGAAAAACGCGGGAGUGGCUGGAGAAACGGGGGAGUGUCUGGGCGAACGCUGGGUGUGUUUGUGACGUCAAACCAGGAAUGAAACUGACUGAACUGAUCGCAGUGGCAGAGUAAGUGUCGAGCUACUCAGAAACUGCUAAGAAAUUUCUAUUCGCAAUUUUGAGAAUCUUUCGUUCGCAAUUCUGCUAAGAUACACUCCCAGAGGGCGGCGGCUUAGCGUGUGCAAUGCUGCUAAAAGCUUGCGAGCGAACAACUCGGAAUGAGGGCCAUAGUCCCCACACACAUUUCCAGCAAGUUACAUUUGCUCAAAGGGUAGAACAAUAGAGAUAUCCAGCUUUACAGGAUGUGAGGGGACAGAGCAAGGUUAGUAUUUAGUGUUUGGUAUCCAGAUGUGCAGUAUUUCGAGAUCUAUGUUCCGGUUGUUAUGUGCAGUUAAUUGCAUGUUUCUGCACAUAGAUAUGCACAGAAUUGUAACAUUCACAAAUACUGUAAAUACUGUACUCAUGAUAUUCGUCGGGAACCCGGUGGUGGAGACCUGCAAGCACACUUGGACCAAGCAUCGCCCACUCAUUCAAACCAACCUAUGACCCCUCAUGUACUGUAAAUGACCUGCCCCUUGACCUAUGGAAGAAGAGCUUACAGUCCCCAUUGUAUUGAAUUUGGACCCAUUGUAUAAAAGAAAGGCUCCCUGACCAGGCUCAGUCUAUUCUCUGAAGGUCAUCUUGCUAAGACUGACUGAUGCCUGGAUCCGGGAACGCUGGCGAACAAACAUAUGUACUAUUGGUUGUAGCUCUUCCCUGUAUUACUGUUGUAUCUUUACUUGUAUCUUUUGAGUAAAUAUUGUUGAUGCGUUGGACCACAACAUAACAUUUAACUACUGGUGUCACAUUCCAUUCUUGUUUGGGGAUAAGGUGUAUUCAGCCACACGUGUCACUGCAUUGUGCGCACAGCGUCUCGUCGUGAUAUACGCAACAUGCAUACACAUCUUAGCGGUUCUUGUGUACGUGUAGCGGCCGCAGCGUGAUUAGGUAUUGCAUUUUCCUUGUAAGUAAAUGGAACUUUAC
Molecule: long non-coding RNA, 2207 nt
Organism: Pseudophryne corroboree (corroboree frog)
Lineage: Eukaryota; Metazoa; Chordata; Amphibia; Anura; Myobatrachidae
Exons: 3
Source: RefSeq, a predicted model, not a curated record